Scylla paramamosain (green mud crab) is the source of this 1748-nucleotide long non-coding RNA. RefSeq lists it as uncharacterized. The transcript is spliced from 2 exons. The record is from RefSeq and is a predicted model, not a curated record. Lineage: Eukaryota; Metazoa; Arthropoda; Malacostraca; Decapoda; Portunidae.
UCUUCAUUGGUUCGUAUCCAGCCAUGGCGGACCGAGGCCUCAGUCGGGCAGGAACCCCCAAGCCCAGCCAGGACACGCCACGGCGUGCAUCCAAGCCCAGCCAGGACACGCCACGGCGUGCACCCCAGCCCAGCCAGGACACGCCACGGCGUGCUUCCCAGGCCAGCCAGGACACGCCAAGGCGUGCUUCCUCCUCCUCAUCUGUCUCACGGGACAGUUCACGGCCCAGGCGUGAUGAUGAUGACCGGUUAAGGAAGGACAAUAAGAGGACUGCUGUUGGUUUUGAUGGGUCGUCCGUCAAGCGUCUUUGUGCUUCCAAACCACAACAACCGUCCGGCAGUCAACAACCGUCUGGCAGUCAACAACCGUCCGGCAAUCAACAACCGCCUGGCAGUCUACAAUCAUUCGUCAGUCACCCUGUUCGGACGAGGAUCCUUCUGCUUCAGACAAGAAAUUUGAUAUUCUCACCAAUCUGUUGAGUGGUUUAGUUGAAAAACUAGACAACCGCAUUACACGCAGUGCUUCGCCUUCACCGGUAGAUUAUGGUGGCUGUCAUGAAUUGUCCCCUUCUGAUAAUGAGGACGGUGAAGAGUCUGAGAGAGAUGAUCCAGACCCCCUAGAUGGAUUAGACACUAUCUCCCCCUCUUUUUCCGGUAGCCAACCCGCUACCUCUGGUGAUGACGCAGACUUCCUCCAAGCGUUGAGUGAAUUGUCUGACAAUUUUUUUGGGCGAGGAAGCAAAAGGUGAACCAAUUUCUGAUUCACUUGCAUCAAUAGUCAAUGCCAGCCUGAGGCGUCGUCCUGUGGCCGACAUUGUAAAAUCAACCACUAAUAGGAUUAAAAUACCCAGCAAUGUGCCCAAUAUGAAAGUUCCAGAGACUAACCCUCCCAUUGUCAAAGCAAUGAAUACGGGAGGUAAACUUAUGGAUGCUCGACUAACCCAUAUUAAUGGACUGUUACUGAAAGCGCUUGUUCCCAUUACUCAGUGCGUUAGUGACGUGGGGGAAAGGAAAGGGAAGGCAGUGAAUUUUUACCUGGAAGGUUUAAAUGAUUGCCUUAGGCUACUAAUCUCCGCCUUCAAUUACACCAACCAGUUACGAAAGGAGGUGGCACGUGUUCACGUCAAUGACACUGCUCUUGCAGAACUCUGUAAAUGGGAGUGUGAAGUCGGUACUGACAAACUCUUCCCUUUCGACAUUGUGAAGAAAUGUGAUGAAAUGCAUAGAACCAAGAAGCUGGGAAGGCCGUCCUUCCGCCCCUACAAGACCUCCAGAGGGAAGAGCUUAUCCUUCGGUAGACAGGACCACAGGAGACCUUACAGCUCACGAGCCCGGUCAAAGCUUCCUUCAAGGCCUUUUUUAGGCCUGCGGCAGUCUUACGGGAGGAGGACGCAGCCAUACAAACUUCCCCAGUAACGCCUCCCACAGUGCCUCCCACAAUCUGCCUCCUCCAGCAAGGCAUCCCUGACUCUACCUGUCCUCCACAAUCAUGGCCACUGUGGGGUGGUCGUGUGAGUCUGUUUUUGCUAAAUUCUACAGGAGGCCGUUGUCCAAGCGGACAGAUUUUGCUAGUGCAGUGUUGGGCUGAGGAGGUUUCCUUCUCUUGAUUACUUGGGUAUUUAUUAAGGUAUACACAUACAUAUAGAUUGUUGAUUUGCACAUGGAUUGCAGCCUGUUCUAUUAUUUGUGUUGAGUUUCACUUCUGUACUACCUUAUAUCGUUACUUGGGAAAUAAAUGGUUAUUCUUUG